This 1690-nucleotide ribosomal RNA is filed under the name Vibrio cholerae. Its description in RNAcentral is "partial 23S ribosomal RNA". It matches the Rfam family "Bacterial large subunit ribosomal RNA", at positions 1277 to 2925 of the family's 2925-position model. The record is from RNAcentral. Lineage: Bacteria; Pseudomonadati; Pseudomonadota; Gammaproteobacteria; Vibrionales; Vibrionaceae.
AGGUAUCAGAAGUGCGAAUGCUGACAUGAGUAACGACAAAGGGGGUGAAAAACCUCCUCGCCGGAAGACCAAGGGUUCCUGUCCAACGUUAAUCGGGGCAGGGUGAGUCGACCCCUAAGGUGAGGCCGAAAGGCGUAAUCGAUGGGAAACGGGUUAAUAUUCCCGUACUUCUGACUAUUGCGAUGGGGGGACGGAGAAGGCUAGGUGGGCCAGGCGACGGUUGUCCUGGUUCAAGUGCGUAGGCUUGAGAGUUAGGUAAAUCCGGCUCUCUCUAAGGCUGAGACACGACGUCGAGCUACUACGGUAGUGAAGUCAUUGAUGCCAUGCUUCCAGGAAAAGCCUCUAAGCUUCAGAUAGUCAGGAAUCGUACCCCAAACCGACACAGGUGGUCGGGUAGAGAAUACCAAGGCGCUUGAGAGAACUCGGGUGAAGGAACUAGGCAAAAUGGUACCGUAACUUCGGGAGAAGGUACGCUCUUGAUGGUGAAGUCCCUCGCGGAUGGAGCUGACGAGAGUCGCAGAUACCAGGUGGCUGCAACUGUUUAUUAAAAACACAGCACUGUGCAAAAUCGCAAGAUGACGUAUACGGUGUGACGCCUGCCCGGUGCCGGAAGGUUAAUUGAUGGGGUUAGCGCAAGCGAAGCUCUUGAUCGAAGCCCCGGUAAACGGCGGCCGUAACUAUAACGGUCCUAAGGUAGCGAAAUUCCUUGUCGGGUAAGUUCCGACCUGCACGAAUGGCGUAAUGAUGGCCACGCUGUCUCCACCCGAGACUCAGUGAAAUUGAAAUCGCUGUGAAGAUGCAGUGUACCCGCGGCUAGACGGAAAGACCCCGUGAACCUUUACUACAGCUUGGCACUGAACAUUGAACCUACAUGUGUAGGAUAGGUGGGAGGCUAUGAAGACGUGACGCCAGUUGCGUUGGAGCCGUCCUUGAAAUACCACCCUUGUAUGUUUGAUGUUCUAACUUAGACCCAUUAUCUGGGUUGAGGACAGUGCCUGGUGGGUAGUUUGACUGGGGCGGUCUCCUCCCAAAGAGUAACGGAGGAGCACGAAGGUGGGCUAAUCACGGUUGGACAUCGUGAGGUUAGUGCAAUGGCAUAAGCCCGCUUAACUGCGAGAAUGACGGUUCGAGCAGGUGCGAAAGCAGGUCAUAGUGAUCCGGUGGUUCUGUAUGGAAGGGCCAUCGCUCAACGGAUAAAAGGUACUCCGGGGAUAACAGGCUGAUACCGCCCAAGAGUUCAUAUCGACGGCGGUGUUUGGCACCUCGAUGUCGGCUCAUCACAUCCUGGGGCUGAAGUCGGUCCCAAGGGUAUGGCUGUUCGCCAUUUAAAGUGGUACGCGAGCUGGGUUUAGAACGUCGUGAGACAGUUCGGUCCCUAUCUGCCGUGGGCGUUGGAAGAUUGAAGGGGGCUGCUCCUAGUACGAGAGGACCGGAGUGGACGAACCUCUGGUGUUCGGGUUGUGUCGCCAGACGCAUUGCCCGGUAGCUAAGUUCGGAAUUGAUAAGCGCUGAAAGCAUCUAAGCGCGAAGCGAGCCCUGAGAUGAGUCUUCCCUGACAGUUUAACUGUCCUAAAGGGUUGUUCGAGACUAGAACGUUGAUAGGCAGGGUGUGUAAGCGUUGUGAGGCGUUGAGCUAACCUGUACUAAUUGCCCGUGAGGCUUAACCAUACAACACCCAAGGGGUUUUGUA